AGCACUCACACAAACUGAAGGGCCCGGUCUCACUCCUACCGUGCCCCCCACAACAGCCCUGAGUCUGUUUCCAGGUGGUGGGCGAGAGGGGUUUGAAAAUUUGCCCCAGGCUAUCCGCCUCCCAGCUGGGCAAGAAAAGGGCGUGGUUGUUCCCCCACUGAGGAGUCUGCACACCGGAUUUGCAUCUUCCCCUGAGUUCUGGCCUGGAGGCUUCUCGCCCCUGCAAAUUGUUACAAAGUUCAGCUAGAGGGUUCCUUCUUCCUGUGGAGUUUUACCUUCUGCUCCUCUGGCCACCCUCCUGAUGGAUCCCUGUGGUGCCAGGCAGGAAUGACCUGCUUAAGGACCCAGCGAGCUCCCAGGACCUUUCUGCUGCUUCCUCUACCCGUAUAUUUUGCUUGCUUCUCUACAUUGACUCAGCUCCAGCGAUUCCUGAGGAAUCUCAUCCACACUACCCUAUGGACUAAAAGGAAAAGCUCUUCAUGUGGUGUUAGCACGGAGAUGAGAAAGAGAGAAAGACAACAUCAUGCUUUGCUGUCUGUGUGUGAACUGAGUAACAGCUGUGAAGGAUCAGUCACCAAAAGACUUUGAAAGAAGAGGCUUGAUUGGUCACGGUAAUGAUGCUCCCCUGGCCAUGGAAGUUUAAUUGGGAGAAAAGAACAUCUGCUUAUACGAAAACAUAUUAUAUUCAGCCAUCCCUGCCCUGACUUUGGCCUUUAAAAACAGUGGCAUUAAUUAUCUCAACAAAUGAAUCUUCGGGAUAAAAAUAAUCUAAAUAUUAUUUUACGCUUACUACAUAUUUGCAACGUGCUAAGCUCUUUAUGGUUGCUACCACAAAAAACAUUUAUAAUAUGAGGUUGUUUCCGUAUUUUGGCUAUUGUGAAUAGUGCUGCAAUAAACAUGGAAGUGCUGAUAUAUCUUUGAGAUCUUGACUUCAAACAAAAGAAGAAAAUCUUGCAAUAUAUGACAACACGGAUUAACCUGGAGGACAUUGUGCUUAGUGAAGUUAGCCAGUCACAGACUGACAAGUACUGCACGAUUCCACUUAUAUGAUGCCACUGAAAGGUAAACAUACCAUUCUGACAUGCAUGAAAAUGAAACGACAAAUUGAUACACGCAGUGCUUGGAAUGGAUGGAGUCCUUCUAAUGAGUGAUUACCUGUGGUAUAACUAUAUUGAUUGUGUUUGUACAUGUCAAAUGGGGCUGGCGAGGAUGAACUUGAAGAAAUCAAUCUUGGAACCUGCUAGGACAGCAGCCUCCUGGUUUCACAGUACUAAAUCAUGACUUCAAAAUUUUGAAGUAAAAGAAAACUGCAAAACUUUGUAAAGGUACCAGUCUCUUCCUGACACUAUUUGCCUUGGCAAAAGAUUCACUGUCAACUUAAAAGACUAACAUGUGCUCAGAUGAUGAUUUGUGGAGGACAGAUAAUUAUGAGUACAUUUAGAAAUACACACUCUUCCAAACCCUGCUCUUUCCAUAUAAUGAAGUUAUUUAUUUCUAUUUUUUAUUUAUUUUUCUAAUAAUUACAAACAUACUUUGGAGACCCACAUUCCUGUAUUAUUCUUUCAACAUACUGAAGAAGAGUUAUUUCUAUGCUUCUUUCUAUGUGUUGGGCUUAAGAUUUAUUAGAAGGAAUGUGUAAAAACAAAGGCAGCAAAGUUUCUAUUUUUAUUGGGAGUCACUCCCGGAGUAAGUGGGGAUAGUUGUGCACACACACACACACACAUUCAUGCACAAAGAAAGAGUGAUCAAGUGUAUAACACACUUUUAGCAGUGUUUUGCUGGAAGAAUAAAGUAUAACUCCUUGUCCGCCCUUUUAUUAUACUGGGGUUCACACUAAGAGAGUCUGAGGACCUGUGGAACUCCCAUUUGCAUGAAAUAACUUUUGCAUCUAUUCUGGAGGAAAACUUCCUAAGGCAGAUUUGGACAGAAAAUUGCUAUCAGCGCAAAUAAAACAAUGCAAAGCCUACUCCGGGGAACGUUGCUCUGCCACCACUACUGAAAUGGGUCAUCCCCUUGGUUUCUGAAUAAAGAAUUAUGAAACCUGGGGCUAGAAUGCUCAGGGAGGAAUUUACCAAUCCAAAUCUUCCCCUUAUGGUAGAGAACAAACUUUCAAGGUUUGUUCUCCACUGUAAGUGUGCGAGGGCUGUUAGGGACCGUAAUAUGGCUGCCGGAGACUGGUGUGUGUACCUCCUUGACUGUACGUCUCAUUUCCAGUUAUGAUUUUACAAUCAUCUCUUUCUCAACCUUUGCUUUUAAAUAUAGGAAGGUACGGCUCACCAUGGAGCGGACAUUUUCUUCAGGAGCGGUACGGUGUCUAAGAUAUGCAGAGGUUGUAUUCUAGUCCUAUAACUCAAUUCUCAAACACAUGGCUUUUAGCCAGGGAUAUCCUAAAGGAAAAUUACACUAUAUGCAACCCCUCCUUACUCCUCAAAUAUUAUCUAUAUUAAACACAGCUGAAAUUUGAGAGUGUCCUUACAGGUGAAAAUUUAACAAUUUAACAAAAGGACACUGCUGAAUGUGUGGGGACAAAGGAAGGAUGAAUCUUUCAUCAUGACAAAAGACUACUUGCCACAUUCUCCCUUAACUUAGAAAAACAGAAAAGAGGCUGGGCGUGGUGGCUCCUGCCUGUAACCUCAGCACUUUGGGAGGCUGAGAUGGGUGGAUCAUUUGAGGUCAGGAGUUCGAGACCAGCCUGGCCAACAUGGUGAAACCCCGCCUCUACUAAAAAAUUCAAAAACUAGCCAGGCAUGGUGGCGGGUGCCUGUAGUUCCAGCUACUCAGGAGGCUGAGGCAGGAGAAUCUCCUGAACCCAGGAGGCGGAGGUUGCAGUGAGUCGAGAUCACACCACUGCACUCCAGCAACAGAGCAAGGCUCUGUCUGUCUCAAAA
Molecule: long non-coding RNA, 2888 nt
Filed under: Homo sapiens (human)
Lineage: Eukaryota; Metazoa; Chordata; Mammalia; Primates; Hominidae
Description: HSALNT0333202
Source: RNAcentral